This 422-nucleotide ribosomal RNA is filed under the name uncultured Prevotella sp. RNAcentral's name for it is "bacterial SSU rRNA". It matches the Rfam family "Bacterial small subunit ribosomal RNA", at positions 355 to 774 of the family's 1533-position model. The record is from RNAcentral. Lineage: Bacteria; Pseudomonadati; Bacteroidota; Bacteroidia; Bacteroidales; Prevotellaceae.
UGAGGAAUAUUGGUCAAUGGGCGAGAGCCUGAACCAGCCAAGUAGCGUGCAGGAAGACGGCCCUAUGGGUUGUAAACUGCUUUUAUGUGGGGAUAAAGUGCGUGACGUGUCAUGCAUUGCAGGUACCACAUGAAUAAGGACCGGCUAAUUCCGUGCCAGCAGCCGCGGUAAUACGGAAGGUCCGGGCGUUAUCCGGAUUUAUUGGGUUUAAAGGGAGCGUAGGCUGUCUAUUAAGCGUGUUGUGAAAUUUACCGGCUCAACCGGUGGCUUACAGCGCGAACUGGUCGACUUGAGUAUGCAGGAAGUAGGCGGAAUUCAUGGUGUAGCGGUGAAAUGCUUAGAUAUCAUGACGAACUCCGAUUGCGCAGGCAGCUUACUGUAGCAUAACUGACGCUGAUGCUCGAAAGUGCGGGUAUCAAACA